GGUGUUGUGGCUCAGUGAUAGAGUGCUCCCCUCUUAUGUGAGAAGCACUGAGUUCAAUCCUCAGCACUACAU
RNAcentral lists this transfer RNA (72 nucleotides) under Ictidomys tridecemlineatus (thirteen-lined ground squirrel). RNAcentral describes it as "Spermophilus tridecemlineatus (thirteen-lined ground squirrel) tRNA". It matches the Rfam family "tRNA". Rfam says of the family: Transfer RNA (tRNA) molecules are approximately 80 nucleotides in length. The record is from Rfam by way of RNAcentral. Lineage: Eukaryota; Metazoa; Chordata; Mammalia; Rodentia; Sciuridae.